This 354-nucleotide ribosomal RNA is filed under the name uncultured bacterium. RNAcentral describes it as "bacterial SSU rRNA". It matches the Rfam family "Bacterial small subunit ribosomal RNA", at positions 29 to 367 of the family's 1533-position model. The record is from RNAcentral.
AACGAACGCUGGCGGCGUGGAUAAGACAUGCAAGUCGAACGGGAUUAAAUCUGUAGCAAUACAGGUUUAGUUUAGUGGCGAACGGGUGCGUAACACGUGGGCAAUCUGCCGAGAAGUGGGGGAUAGCUCGCCGAAAGGCGAAUUAAUACCGCAUAUGAUCAGUGAAGACAUUCUUCACGACAUCAAAGCCGGGGCAACCUGGCGCUUCUUGAUGAGCCCGCGGCCUAUCAGCUAGUUGGUGAGGUAACGGCUCACCAAGGCUAUGACGGGUAGCUGGUCUGAGAGGACGACCAGUCACACUGGAACUGAGACACGGUUCAGACACCUACGGGUGGCAGCAGUCGAGAAUUUUUC